UACGUAGGGUGCGAGCGUUGUCCGGAAUUACUGGGCGUAAAGAGCUCGUAGGCGGUCUGUCGCGUCUGCUGUGAAAUCCCGGGGCUCAACUCCGGGCUUGCAGUGGAUACGGGCAGACUAGAGUUCGGUAGGGGAGACUGGAAUUCCUGGUGUAGCGGUGAAAUGCGCAGAUAUCAGGAGGAACACCGGUGGCGAAGGCGGGUCUCUGGGCCGAUACUGACGCUGAGGAGCGAAAGCGUGGGGAGCGAACAGG
This 253-nucleotide ribosomal RNA is filed under the name uncultured bacterium. Its description in RNAcentral is "partial 16S ribosomal RNA". It matches the Rfam family "Bacterial small subunit ribosomal RNA", at positions 524 to 776 of the family's 1533-position model. The record is from RNAcentral.